UGGAGAGUUUGAUCCUGGCUCAGGACGAACGCUGGCGGCGUGCUUAACACAUGCAAGUCGAACGGAAAGGCCCCUUCGGGGGUACUCGAGUGGCGAACGGGUGAGUAACACGUGGGUAAUCUGCCCUGCACUUCGGGAUAAGCCUGGGAAACUGGGUCUAAUACCGGAUAGGACCAUUUAGCGCAUGCUUUAUGGUGGAAAGCUUUUGCGGUGUGGGAUGGGCCCGCGGCCUAUCAGCUUGUUGGCGGGGUGACGGCCUACCAAGGCGACGACGGGUAGCCGGCCUGAGAGGGUGUCCGGCCACACUGGGACUGAGAUACGGCCCAGACUCCUACGGGAGGCAGCAGUGGGGAAUAUUGCACAAUGGGCGCAAGCCUGAUGCAGCGACGCCGCGUGGGGGAUGACGGCCUUCGGGUUGUAAACCUCUUUCAGCAGGGACGAAGCGCAAGUGACGGUACCUGCAGAAGAAGCACCGGCCAACUACGUGCCAGCAGCCGCGGUA
Molecule: ribosomal RNA, 502 nt
Filed under: Mycobacterium sp. N499RC
Lineage: Bacteria; Bacillati; Actinomycetota; Actinomycetes; Mycobacteriales; Mycobacteriaceae
Description: bacterial SSU rRNA
Rfam family: Bacterial small subunit ribosomal RNA
Source: RNAcentral